UAGGUGAAGUGGUUUACCCAUGGAGCUGAAGCCAGUCGCAGAUACCAGCUGGCUGCAACUGUUUAUUAAAAACACAGCACUGUGCAAACACGAAAGUGGACGUAUACGGUGUGACGCCUGCCCGGUGCUGGAAGGUUAAUUGAUGGGGUUAUCCGUAAGGAGAAGCUCUUGAUCGAAGCCCCAGUAAACGGCGGCCGUAACUAUAACGGUCCUAAGGUAGCGAAAUUCCUUGUCGGGUAAGUUCCGACCUGCACGAAUGGCGUAAUGAUGGCCACGCUGUCUCCACCCGAGACUCAGUGAAAUUGAAAUCGCUGUGAAGAUGCAGUGUACCCGCGGCAAGACGGAAAGACCCCGUGAACCUUUACU
Molecule: ribosomal RNA, 366 nt
Filed under: Vibrio parahaemolyticus
Lineage: Bacteria; Pseudomonadati; Pseudomonadota; Gammaproteobacteria; Vibrionales; Vibrionaceae
Description: partial 23S ribosomal RNA
Rfam family: Bacterial large subunit ribosomal RNA
Source: RNAcentral